RNAcentral lists this ribosomal RNA (186 nucleotides) under uncultured bacterium. Its description in RNAcentral is "partial 16S ribosomal RNA". It matches the Rfam family "Bacterial small subunit ribosomal RNA", at positions 1317 to 1500 of the family's 1533-position model. The record is from RNAcentral.
UACAUGAAGCUGGAAUCGCUAGUAAUCGCGGAUCAGAAUGCCGCGGUGAAUACGUUCCCGGGUCUUGUACACACCGCCCGUCACACCAUGGGAGUCGGAAAUGCCCGAAGUCUGUGACCCAACCUGAGAGGGAGGGAGCAGCCGAAGGCAGGUCGGAUGACUGGGGUGAAGUCGUAACAAGGUACC